Molecule: transfer RNA, 82 nt
Filed under: Daphnia pulex (common water flea)
Lineage: Eukaryota; Metazoa; Arthropoda; Branchiopoda; Diplostraca; Daphniidae
Rfam family: tRNA
About the family: Transfer RNA (tRNA) molecules are approximately 80 nucleotides in length. Their secondary structure includes four short double-helical elements and three loops (D, anti-codon, and T loops).
Source: Rfam by way of RNAcentral
GAUAGUGUGACCGAGUGGUCUAUGGCGAUGAUUUUAGGCACCAGACUCUUUGGAGGCAAGGGAUCGAAUCCCUUCACUGUCA